Molecule: ribosomal RNA, 354 nt
Filed under: Bacillus sp. (in: firmicutes)
Lineage: Bacteria; Bacillati; Bacillota; Bacilli; Caryophanales; Bacillaceae
Description: bacterial SSU rRNA
Rfam family: Bacterial small subunit ribosomal RNA
Source: RNAcentral
GGGGGCAGAGUGACAGGUGGUGCAUGGUUGUCGUCAGCUCGUGUCGUGAGAUGUUGGGUUAAGUCCCGCAACGAGCGCAACCCUUGAUCUUAGUUGCCAGCAUUCAGUUGGGCACUCUAAGGUGACUGCCGGUGACAAACCGGAGGAAGGUGGGGAUGACGUCAAAUCAUCAUGCCCCUUAUGACCUGGGCUACACACGUGCUACAAUGGGCAGAACAAAGGGCAGCGAAGCCGCGAGGCUAAGCCAAUCCCACAAAUCUGUUCUCAGUUCGGAUCGCAGUCUGCAACUCGACUGCGUGAAGCUGGAAUCGCUAGUAAUCGCGGAUCAGCAUGCCGCGGUGAAUACGUUCCCGG